CAGCAGCCGCGGUAAUACGAAGGGUGCAAGCGUUAAUCGGAAUUGCUGGGCGUAAAGCGUGCGUAGGCGGUUUGUUAAGUCUGUUGUGAAAUCCCCGGGCUCAACCUGGGAAUGGCAAUGGAUACUGGCAAGCUGGAGCGUGUCAGAGGAUGGUGGAAUUCUCGGUGUAGCGGUGAAAUGCGUAGAGAUCGGGAGGAACAUCAGUGGCGAAGGCGGCCAUCUGGGACAACACUGACGCUGAGGCACGAAAGCGUGGGGAGCAAACAGGAUUAGAUACCCGGGUAGUCCCUGUCUCUUAUAC
This 301-nucleotide ribosomal RNA is filed under the name uncultured bacterium. RNAcentral describes it as "partial 16S ribosomal RNA". It matches the Rfam family "Bacterial small subunit ribosomal RNA", at positions 509 to 807 of the family's 1533-position model. The record is from RNAcentral.